Dreissena polymorpha is the source of this 6229-nucleotide long non-coding RNA. RefSeq lists it as uncharacterized. NCBI's taxonomy places the organism in Eukaryota, Metazoa, Mollusca, Bivalvia, Myida, Dreissenidae. The transcript is spliced from 6 exons. The record is from RefSeq and is a predicted model, not a curated record.
AAACAGCGGUUGCGAUAGACACCUAUAUACUGUUAGAUGCCCAUAUUGUCACUUUAACACAAUGCGCAUGUGUAGCAUGGUAUCUAAUUAUAUUCAUCCAGAAUCCUUUUAGCCUUACACUUAUAAUGAUGGAUGAGAGAUAGUCAGUGCGAAAGUGGUGCAUCACGGUUUAGAAGCAUAUCGGUGGCCUUUCUGUCAAAAUGCUGCCUCUCUGUUCAUUCUUCGCUGCCUCUCUGUUAUAAACAAGAAAAAUGGAUGAUCGUAAUUCACAUAAAAAACGGUUAGAAAAUAUAAAAUUAAAACCCAUAAACACAUUUGUGCAUAACAAGAGGUGGUCCGUGAAGCAUAUAUCCAGCUACAGGUUCACAGGAUUCUGCAGGUCCAAACACUUUUCACAAACUGUACCGAAAAUGGAAUGAUGAGGAGGCUGGUGGAACAAUCGUGCAUACAUGCCACUUUGAUGACUUUUUAACAAAGCUUUUCCGUAAUAAUAUAUCAAGUGUCAUUGAUAUUAUCUUUAUGAUCAAAUCUUUACAUUCAAUGUACGCUAUAUAGUAAUUUUCAUCAAUUUUACUUAAAAAUGCCUACUUUCGCUUUCGUUGUGGCACGGAAAGCCUCUCGAGGUCACAUAACCCCAAACCGGAACUCCUGUUUUUAGGGUUACAUGCAGUCAGUUUGAUACUUAGCACAUAUUGUUAUGGUUAGUUGUGGUAUCAACUUGAAGGUAUAUUUGUAAGCAAUAAGAAAAUAAACCUUUUCUGUGCUCUACUUUUUGUGUUGAUGGUUCCCGGCUUUGAAAGUAGGUCAUACUAUUUGAGCCCAAAAUGGAUUGUCUGCACAGCUGUCAAAACCGGUUUGCCUAUUCUAAGGUAAAUAUUUUUAAUUAGCGCGUAUAAAAUUUAAUGACAUGCAUUUUUUCAAAAGAUUAUGCAUUUAUUUUUCCAAUGAUGCAUGAUGAUAUAGUGGGUAUGCGCUUGAUCAUGGUAAAAAUUGAUAUCGAACUUAAACUAUUUUAUAUGUAAUAUAGAAGGUAAUUAAUUGCGCAUGCGUAACCUUUAAGCACAUCCGACCAAGUCUGUCGUCUGCAAGAAUAUUGACAAUUGACCAUCAAAACUCUCUGUAUUGCAAAACAUAACUGCCAGAUGGUAUUUUGACCCAAAUUAGGGAUGUUUGCAAUUGGGCUGUUGAACUUGGGAUCAUAAGAGGGGUAAAUGCUAGAAAAUCACACCGAAACCUGUACCGGAGACAUUUUCUAAGACUACUUAAACACGCGGAAUUGUUUUUCAGUGACAUUUUGACAUUAAUUUGAAUCGAUCUCAAUAAUGAACCUUAUGCAUGUCUUUAUUUCAUCUGUAUUUAUUAUUAUUGUUUACUUUUUGAGCCUUUUACUGUUAAAAAUGCCUGCCAAUUUUGGACCGACACUGCUAUCUGCCUUCGCCUUCAACCCCGUCAGGCAGAUCUACUCAGAAUAACACUACCUUGCCUUAUUUUUCCUGUUUGGAUAUCUUGCGGAGUUUAAGUAAAAUCAAGUAUUCAGCUAAAAACACAAAAAUGAUAAUAAUAGUAUGCUUCUUUCCUGGAGUAAUGUUGUUGUGAUAGACCCUGCGUGAAAAACACCAGUGAAUCUGUAUUUAAGUGACCUCAAUAUUAUGCGUAAACCUACGUGUGCAUUUAUAGGCGGUGUCGAAAUGGGUCUUUAGCUCUGCCUGGACUGUCGUCCAAUUGGUUUACAAGUCCGGCUGAAGUGACAGGCCAUCAAAAACUGUAUAGCAUGACUGAUUCGGAGACGGCCCUCAACACUCGCCCAGCUGUGUCGAGAGGAUCGGUGUCUUUGCAGAUUACACGGAAUUGAGCAUCUGGGCCAGACUGACACUUUCCGGAGCCUGUCCGAGACGGAACUCGAGCCGAGGAAUCAUAGGUCCAGGUGUAAUAAAAGACUUAAAGCUCAUGUCUGACGAUGACUUUUUUUAGUCAGUAAUUCAAGUGUGUUGUUUUUUCAUGCAAGCAAGCCCUUUUGUUGGGUCAAAUGACAUUAGAAAAGCGGCUUCUACAUGGAUUUUUACCAUAAAAUGUGCCAUUUUUUAAAAACAAAUUUGUUCGAAUCCGGUUCAAAACCUGCUUUGAUGCACAAAUAUUGCCAUUGAUGAUUUUUUUUCCCUUAUUAAGUCAUAUGUAACAUCAGCGUUGCCUAUUAGAAUCGAAAGUGAUGCCUUGUAUGGAGUCUAAGUGCUGCAUGUAUGAUGUAACCAAGUUUGGCUUUUCUACCUUAAUUCUUGAUGCGAAACGCUGUUACGCAUGGCGCUUUCUACGGCAACUUUAAUGAAUAAAUCUGUGUGUCAUUGUACCGGAACCUAAUGAUCUUUCCCAAAACAGAUUACACCUGUGGGAAAAGUGCCUUUUAAUUCAAAUUCGAAGGGGUUGGGUUCUCUUAAAGGUCACAUAACCCCAAACCGGAACUCCUGUUUUUAGGGUUACAUGCAGUCAGUUUGAUACUUAGCGCACAUUGUUGAGUGCAUGCUGCCUAGGAUUUGUAAAAUACAUUGCAAAUGGUUAGUUUUGGUUUCAACUUGAAGGUAUAUUUGUAAGCAAUUUUGGUUUCCUUAAAAUUAAAAAGAAAACAAAAACAAUAAAAACUGGGCUAAUAUGUUUUUUCUUUGGUUGUUUGUGAUAGAUGUGUUUUUUAAGAGAAAAGAAAAGAACAACAGAAUAAUAGUUAUUAAAUAUGAUUAGUUGUAUAAUGUGGGAAGAAAGCAUACUGGACUUGUGUGUUUUGUUGUAUAUUCACAUUGAUCUUAUAAGAUUGAAAAAAAAUAUACAAAAAUAUUUUAGAAAGAUAAACUAACAACAGAGUGAAAUGUAUAUAAGUGGACAAACAUUAUGAGAAUUUAAUCCGAUUCCAUUUUUGUUCAAAGAAUUGUAAUGUGUCAUUACUGAGGACUAUUUCUUUCUCAAUCUGGAUUUUUAGUUUAAGACUAUGGACAAAACAAUAAAAAUUUGGUGCUUGUUUUUUGUACUUCAUGUUAAAGAUAAAAUAUUUCAUCAAUAUCAGAAUAAAAUUCACAAUAUUAUUACAGUGUAUUGAUUUCAAUGAGUAAAUUCCGAAACUUACAUUAAAGAAAAAUAGUUUAACGUUUAUUUGCUGUUGUUCAAGAAAAGAUACUAAUUGAUUUCAAAUAGGCUGGAUGUGUUUGCACUCCCUAAAAAGAUGUUCUAUAGUUUCUAUGUUUUCACCGCAGAAGUCACACAGAUUUGAGUUAGAUAAUUUGCAUUUAAAGAUAUAUUUAUUUGUAGCUAUAAUUCUAUUGAUGUAUUUUUAUUGAAAAUUUCUCAGUGUGCUUUCAAUAGAUGCUUUAUGUGGCAUUGUAAAUAUGUGUUUCCAAUUAAGUUCAUGUUCUCCGAAAAGGACUUGCCAUUUUGGGGGGUUUUGGAGUUUUCUGUAGUUUUUUUAAUUGUAGUGUGUUAAUUAUUUUACUCGUUUUGUUUUUUCUUCUAAGUAUGUUUUCUACGAAUGUUGUUUGAGUACAUGGUGUAUUAGUUGUAUUGAUUUCAGAUUGAAUAUGUAUGGGUAAGCUUUUGAUUAGUUUGUAGUACUUCGGAAAUUAAUUGAAGGUAUUCCGUAUAUGUAGCAUAUAUCAUCAAAAGAGUAGAAAUCCUUAAUUCUGUAGUUAUAUAAUUGGUGGACAUAUUUAAUGCUUCGUUCAAACCAAUAUUUUUAGCAAAACGUCUUAUUGUUUGAAGUUAUGUCUUUAUUGUUCCAUAAAGUAGUUUUACUGCUGGUUUGGGUUUCUAGGUUAUGAGUGACAUCACUCCAUGCUGAUAGAACAUCAGACAGAAAUAUGUUUUCGUUUGCAAUUUCAUGUAAGAUAGUAUUGCUGAUGUUACAUUCAAAGAGUAAGGAGUCACCAUAUUUUUUUAGGAUUUUCUGGUAGAAUAAUUUCCAUUUACUCGUAUUGGUAUUAUCUAGGUAUCUUUUAACCCAGCUGCAUUUGAUUGCAUUCAAGAAUGAGUCAAUGUUCGUUAAUUGGAUACUUCAUUUCUACAGAUUGAAUUAUCUGAGUUCGUUUUAUUUUAUCAGGCUAACCGUCCCAUGUGAAAUUUAAUAUUGCUGAUUUUAUAUCGUUAAUAACAUCAUUUGGUGGAUUUGGGAGAACAUUCAAUACAUAAAUUAAUUUAGGAAGUGCAAACGUUUUCAAAAAAUGAUAAAAAUAUUAUGCUUCUUUCCUGGAGGAAUGUUGUUGUGAUAGACCCUGCGUGAAAAACACCAGGGAAUCUGUAUUUAAGUGACCUCAAUAUUAUGCGUAAACCUAAGUGUGUAUUUGCAGGCGAUGUCGAAAUGGGUCUUUAGCUCUGCGUGAACUGUCGUCCAAUUGGAUUACAAGUCCGGCUGAAGUGACAGGCCAUCAAAAACUGUACAGCAUGACUGAUUCGGAGACGGCCCUCAACACUCGCCCAGCUGUGUCGAGAGGAUCGGUGUCUUUGCAGAUUACAUGAAUUGAGCACCCGGGCCAGACUGACACUUUCCGGAACCUGUCCGAGACGGAAUUCGAGCCGAAGAAUCAUAGGUCCAGGCGGUGUCGAAAUGGGUCUUUAGCUCUGCCUGGACUGUCGUCCAAUUGGUUUACAAGUCCGGCUGAAGUGACAGGCCAUCAAAAACUGUACAGCAUGACUGAUUCGGAGACGGCCCUCAACACUCGCCCAGCUGUGUCGAGAGGAUCGGUGUCUUUGCAGAUUACACGGAAUUGAGCAUCCGGGCCAGACUGACACUUUCCGGACCCUGUCCGAGACGGAACUCGAGCCGAGGAAUCAUAGGUCCAGAAAGCAAUUUGAAUGAGAAGUGCGAUAAUACGAUGACGACAGUACGAUAACGCGAUAGUACGAUGGCGACCAUGCGAUAAUACGAUGACGAUAGUGCGAAAAUACGAUGGGGACAGUGCGAUAGUACGAUGGCGACAAUGCGAUAGUGCGAUAAUACGAUGACGACAGUGCGACAAUACUAUGGCGACAGUGCAAUAGUACGAUGGCGACAAUGCAAUAGUGCGAUAAUACGAUGACGACAGUCCGACAAUACGAUGGCGACAGUGCGAUAGUACGAUGGCGACAAUGCGAAAGUGCGAUAAUACGAUGACGACAGUGCAUCAAAACGAUGGCGACAGUGCAAAAGUACGAUGGCCACAAUCCGGCAACGCGAUAGUGCGACAAUGGCGACAAUGCUAUAAUACGAUGACGACACUACGAUAACGCGAUAGGACGAUGGAGGCAAUGCGAAAAUACGAUGACGACGGUGCGACAAUACGAUUGCGACAGUGCGAAAGUACGAUGGCAACAAUGCGACAAUGCGAAAGUGAGAUAAUACGAUGACGACAGUGCGCCAAUUAGAUGGCGACAGUGCGAUAGUACGAUGACGACAAUCCGACAAUGCGAUAUUGCGAUAGUUAGAUGGCGACAAUGCGAUAAAACGAUGACGACAGUGCGACAAUACGAUGACGUCAUAGCGAUAGUACGAUGGCGACAAUGUGAUAAUACGGUGGCGACAGUUCGAUAACGCGAUAGCACUGUGAAAUAGCAGUCUGCAGUAACUGCAUAAUUUCCUUCGAAACUAAGAAUUUGAAUAAUUAAAGUAUAUGUUCGUAACCUGUUGCGUAUUUUAAAAUGUUUAAUGUACAGUGUAUCAAAGUAACAUGUAGUUUCAGUUAAGUUAAAUUACUGUAAUUGGCUAUUUUAACAGAAUAACCACCUUCAGCAUUACUUCAAAUAAAAAUAUUUCGAUUUAAGCUCAAAAUCAAUGUAAAGGUUUCGCAUUUGUCAAUAGUUUGUUAUUGAAAAUAACUGCCUACCAUUACUGGAUGUUCCGUUCGCUUAUUCAUAAAUACCAGAAAGAUGAAAUUCGCCUUAUUAAGUAGUGUAUUGACACAAUGUUUCGUAUUAAAAUAUAUACCCGACGUCGUAGAGAAACGGAUUACGAUUUUACCUCGUCAGUCCCCAGUGGUUACUUCACGUUGACUGUGGCAACGAACAAAGACACAUCUACAACUUUCAGUUGUAGAUCUACAUCAAAUAUUAAAUUGUACUGAAGGCAUUUUAUAUUUCAUGGCGAGUUUACUUGUAUUGUUGUUAUGAUGGUAAUCAUUGUGUUUUUUUUUUUCAAUUAUAUUAUAUUGUUUCAUUUAUCUGAUAAAUAAUUUAUCAUAUUUGUUAAAAUAAUUUAUGUAAUUAUAUUUCAGACCAUCAU